GGGGCUGUAGCUCAGUGGUAGAGCGUCCGCUUUGCAUGCGGAA
Non-coding RNA from Trichuris suis (pig whipworm), 43 nucleotides. The record is from Rfam. NCBI's taxonomy places the organism in Eukaryota, Metazoa, Nematoda, Enoplea, Trichinellida, Trichuridae.